UACGGAGGGCGCAAGCGUUGUUCGGAAUCAUUGGGCGUAAAGCGCGUGUAGGCGGCCAGGUAAGUCGGGUGUGAAAUCCCGGGGCUCAACCCCGGAACUGCAUUCGAUACUGCCCGGCUAGAGUCCCGGAGAGGAAGGCGGAAUUCCCGGUGUAGAGGUGAAAUUCGUAGAUAUCGGGAGGAACACCAGUGGCGAAGGCGGCCUUCUGGACGGUGACUGACGCUGAGACGCGAAAGCGUGGGGAGCAAACAGG
This 253-nucleotide ribosomal RNA is filed under the name uncultured bacterium. RNAcentral's name for it is "partial 16S ribosomal RNA". It matches the Rfam family "Bacterial small subunit ribosomal RNA", at positions 524 to 776 of the family's 1533-position model. The record is from RNAcentral.